AGAGAGUAAAAACUCUCCUAUUAUAAUAUAGAUUUUGUUAGAAGAUAAAGAUCAAAACAAGAUAAUUAUCCAUCCUGGACACUUGUCUCAUUCUUGGAGAUUAUGUAUUAGUCAUCAUCCAGAUGUCAUUCUAAUUGUUUUGCCUUAUCUUUAAUGUUUAUAAAAUCACCGACUUGUAUCAACUAUAAAUAGGAGUGAUGACACUUUGUUAUAGACAAUCUGAAAUAAAAAGAAAGACAUUAGUUUUUCACUCUCUCUCACUCAUACAACACAAACACACCACCACAUAUAAUAACAUAAUUAUUUACAAUACGUUAUCAGCAUGAAGCACUGACCAACUGAGAUUUAUUAUUUUGAAAGUUUUUAAACCAGCCGAGGCUAUGCCUUCACGAUCAGGUGAUCACAUGGUAGGAUUUGCCUCCGUGAAUUGAAAAAAAAGGAUCACGUGGUAGGCUUCGCCUCCGUGAAUUGAAAAAAAAAGGGUCACGUGGUAGGCUUUACCUCCGUGAAUUGAAAAAAAAAAAAGGUUACGUGGAAGGCUUUGCCUCCGUGAAUAAAAAGAAAAGGUAAAAAAUGGUAGACCAAGUCUCCUCGGACCUUGAAAUAAGCAAAAGUCAAAAUGGUAGACCAUGUCUCCUCGGACUUUGAAAAAAAAUGAUCAAUAUGGCAGUCUUUGACUCCUCGGAUCAUGUGGUAGGCUGAGCCUCCCGAUUUUAUUUAUGCUAUUUAAAUUUUUGCAAUUUAAUUUAUGCAUUUAUUUUAUGCUUUUAAUUUCUGCAUUUAAAUUCUCAUCUUUAUUAUAAUAUUAUUCUAUGAAUAAUGUUAUCAUGUGAGUUUUGACAAAGCUCAAAAUAGAUGCCCUUGGUAUUACGAGAAAUAAUUAUAAGACUUGGGCAGUGGGUGCAAAGAUGCACCUGAGAGAAAAUGAGCUUUGAGAAAUCAUCGAUAAGUUGAAACGAUAUCGGAUGAGAAAAGAAUAAAGCCACGAUAAUUUACACCACUUCAAUGAUGGUUUAUAAGAUGAGGUGUAUCAUGAGAAAAGAUCUAGAAGAUCUUUGAAUAAUUAAAUCUUUGAAAGAAAGGAUUCAAUAAAUAGUUGGAGUUGAUGAAAAUCCUCCUUGAAUACUGAAAAAAAAAAGAAAAUGAAAUCAUGAUACUAAACCAUCAAGUCGGUCCUAUUAGAAAAGUACAAGGGUGUAGAUGCGGUUGAAACCCCCUAUCGUGGUCGUGGAAGUGGACGAGGAAGAAUAUUCCGUCCAUGCGAAAUAAUUAGAACUUCCACGAAAAUAAAAGUGGUCGGGUGAUAAAAGGCAAACAUAAAAGGUUUGCUAUAGAUACGGCUAGAAAGAAAAUUGGGUAUGUAGUUGUCGUAUGCCAAAU
RNAcentral lists this long non-coding RNA (1380 nucleotides) under Brassica rapa (field mustard). RNAcentral's name for it is "long non-coding RNA (BRAP_LNC006835)". The record is from RNAcentral. Lineage: Eukaryota; Viridiplantae; Streptophyta; Magnoliopsida; Brassicales; Brassicaceae.